CACAGGUGAAAGAGUUUGAGUGCACAGGUGUGCGUGCGUGUGAGCGUGCGUGCGUGCGUGCGAGAAGGUCAGAGUGCGCCGCGUGUCCGUAAGUGAAAGUGCGCGUUUUUGUGUUCAGAUGGAGGACGCCCCCAGCUCCCAGAAGAGCGGGCGACUUUCUUCCUCUCACGACUUGGGGAGAGGAGGAGGAGGACCGUUUCCGACGUGGACAGGUUUCGACGUCUUAGGGGUCCAGGUAAAGGCGAUUCAAUUAUGGGAUAUGAGGCUGGUCAGGAAGCAUGAGAGCCUGCACCAUCCUGCAGGCCACAGAGACCUUCGGUGGACAGUUCUGAAUGGGAUAAAGCCUGCAGGCCAGUACUCCCAUGAGAGCUCUUCUCCCACAGGCUGACAUCAGGCUGCCACAGCCACCAGCUCCCCAAGUGGCUUCCUGGAUGAGAGAGAGCUGGAGAACAGGUGGGCUGCCCAGAGGCCAGAGCUGGACUUGAACUGAGGGCCUGCGUGGCCUGAACAAGCGGUGACCAGGACUAUAAUCCAGGGCACCCAUGGAGGCUUUCAAGGUUGGCCAGAUUCUCUGCAAACUCAGAUCCAGUCCUGGGCUGGGCCAGUUCUUGAGUGUGAACUCCUGAGAUCCAGCCUAGCACUGUUCUGGGAGUAGCAGCAGUUGUCACCUUCUCCAAAUCCACUGGCCUUUUAAAAAAUAGUUGGAAUUAAGUGAAUCGACUGACAAGGGAUUAAUCUCCAAAAUUUAUAAACACCUUCUGCAGCUCCAUACCAAAAAAACAAACAACCCCAUCCAAAAAUUGGCAGAAGAUCUAAACAGACAGUUCUCCAAAGAAGACAUACAGAUGGCUGAGAAAUACAUGAAAAGAUGUUCAACAUCACUCAUUAUUAGAGAAAUGCAAAUCAAAACCACUAUGAGGUACCACCUUAUACCAGCCAGAAUGGCCAUCAUCCAAAAGUCUACAAACAAGAAGUGCUGGAGAGGGUGUGGAGAAAAAAGAACCCUAUGACACUGUUGGUGGGAUUGUAAAUUGGUGAAACCACUGUGGAAAGCAGUACGGAGAUUCCUCAGAAAACUAAACAUAGAACUACCAUUUGAUCCAGCAAUCCCACUCCUGGACAUCUACCCAGAGAAAACCACGACUCGAAAAGACACAUGUACUCCGAUGUUCAUUGACGCACUCUUUGCAAUAGCCAAGACAUGGAAACAACCUAAAUGUCCAUCGACAGAGGAGUGGAUCCAGAAGAUGUGGUACAUAUACACAAUGGAGUAUUACUCUGCCAUUAAAAGGAACGAAAUGGACCAACAUGGAUGGACCUAGAAACUAUCAUGCUAAGUGAAGUCAGCCAUACAAUGAGACACCAACAUCAAAUGCUUUCAGUGACAU
Molecule: long non-coding RNA, 1388 nt
Filed under: Sus scrofa (pig)
Lineage: Eukaryota; Metazoa; Chordata; Mammalia; Artiodactyla; Suidae
Description: lncRNA (ENSSSCG00050035584.1)
Source: RNAcentral